Molecule: transfer RNA, 84 nt
Filed under: Lachnellula hyalina
Lineage: Eukaryota; Fungi; Ascomycota; Leotiomycetes; Helotiales; Lachnaceae
Description: tRNA-Val
Rfam family: tRNA
About the family: Transfer RNA (tRNA) molecules are approximately 80 nucleotides in length.
Source: RNAcentral
GGACAGAUGGCCGAGUUGGUUAUGGCGCCAGGUUAAGGUUACUUAACAAGUAGUAGGGCGUGGGUUCGAAUCCCACUCUGUUCA